RNAcentral lists this transfer RNA (77 nucleotides) under Ancylomarina salipaludis. RNAcentral describes it as "Ancylomarina sp. SHSM-M15 tRNA-Thr". It matches the Rfam family "tRNA". Rfam says of the family: Transfer RNA (tRNA) molecules are approximately 80 nucleotides in length. Their secondary structure includes four short double-helical elements and three loops (D, anti-codon, and T loops). The record is from RNAcentral. Lineage: Bacteria; Pseudomonadati; Bacteroidota; Bacteroidia; Marinilabiliales; Marinifilaceae.
GCCAGUAUAGCUCAGUUGGCCAGAGCAGCUGAUUUGUAAUCAGCAGGUCGUGGGUUCGAAUCCCUCUACUGGCUCCA